RNAcentral lists this ribosomal RNA (419 nucleotides) under bacterium. Its description in RNAcentral is "partial 16S ribosomal RNA". It matches the Rfam family "Bacterial small subunit ribosomal RNA", at positions 355 to 776 of the family's 1533-position model. The record is from RNAcentral.
UGGGGGAUAUUGCACAAUGGGCGAAAGCCUGAUGCAGCGACGCCGCGUGGGGGAUGAAGGCCUUCGGGUUGUAAACUUCUUUUGCUCUGAACAAGGCAUGCUAAUGGGUGUGUUGAGUGUAGGGGUUGAUUAGCGCCGGCUAACUACGUGCCAGCAGCCGCGGUAAUACGUAGGGCGCGAGCGUUGUCCGGAAUUAUUGGGCGUAAAGGGCUUGUAGGUGGCUGGUUGCGUCUGUCGUGAAAGCUCAUGGCUUAACUGUGGGUUUGCGGUGGGUACGGGCUGGCUUGAGUGCAGUAGGGGAGGCUGGAAUUCCUGGUGUAGCGGUGGAAUGCGCAGAUAUCAGGAGGAAUUCCGGUGGCGAAGGCGGGUCUCUGGGCUGUUACUGACACUGAGGAGCGAAAGCAUGGGGAGCGAACAGG